CCUACGGGAGGCUGCAGUGAGGAAUAUUGGUCAAUGGGCGUAAGCCUGAACCAGCCAAGUCGCGUGAGGGAUGAAGGUUCUAUGGAUCGUAAACCUCUUUUAUAAGGGAAUAAAGUGUGGGACGUGUCCUGUUUUGUAUGUACCUUAUGAAUAAGGAUCGGCUAACUCCGUGCCAGCAGCCGCGGUAAUACGGAGGAUCCGAGCGUUAUCCGGAUUUAUUGGGUUUAAAGGGUGCGUAGGCGGCCUUUUAAGUCAGCGGUGAAAGUCUGUGGCUCAACCAUAGAAUUGCCGUGGAAACUGGGAGGCUUGAGGAUGUUGGAGGCAGGCGGAAUGCGUGGUGUAGCGGUGAAAUGCUUAGAUAUCACGAAGAACCCCGAUUGCGAAGGCAGCAUGCCAAGCCAUGACUGACGCUGAGGCACGAAGGCGCGGGGAUCGAACAGGAUUAGAUACCCCUGUAGUC
RNAcentral lists this ribosomal RNA (460 nucleotides) under uncultured bacterium. RNAcentral's name for it is "partial 16S ribosomal RNA". It matches the Rfam family "Bacterial small subunit ribosomal RNA", at positions 338 to 795 of the family's 1533-position model. The record is from RNAcentral.